This is a long non-coding RNA of Ailuropoda melanoleuca (giant panda), 223 nucleotides long. RefSeq lists it as uncharacterized. NCBI's taxonomy places the organism in Eukaryota, Metazoa, Chordata, Mammalia, Carnivora, Ursidae. The record is from RefSeq and is a predicted model, not a curated record. The transcript has 3 exons.
UGAGCGGAAGGAACGUAUGUUAACAUCCGGCUCAGGCGGGUCCUGAAGGUACAACAGUCGGCCUGAUGGGACAGGAGAAUGGCCUUUUGAAGACUUAGUUGUGGUGCCAGCCGGAUGACAACACUUUGCGGGGCAAGAAUAAUGUCUUACAGGAUGCAAUACAUACAGUGACUGCAAGCAGAUGAUGGACAGAUCUAGGAGGUGGCAGAGCCACAAGGUGGGG